UACGAAGGGUGCAAGCGUUAAUCGGAAUUACUGGGCGUAAAGCGCGUGUAGGCUGCUUCGCAAGUCGGGUGUGAAAGCCCUGGGCUCAACCUAGGAAGUGCACUCGAAACUGCGGAGCUUGAGUCUCGGAGAGGAUCGCGGAAUUCUCGGUGUAGAGGUGAAAUUCGUAGAUAUCGAGAGGAACACCGGUGGCGAAGGCGGCGAUCUGGACGAUGACUGACGCUGAGACGCGAAAGCGUGGGGAGCAAACAGG
RNAcentral lists this ribosomal RNA (253 nucleotides) under uncultured bacterium. RNAcentral describes it as "partial 16S ribosomal RNA". It matches the Rfam family "Bacterial small subunit ribosomal RNA", at positions 524 to 776 of the family's 1533-position model. The record is from RNAcentral.